GAUGAACGCUGGCGGCGUGCCUAAUACAUGCAAGUCGAGCGAACAGACGAGGAGCUUGCUCCUCUGACGUUAGCGGCGGACAGGUGAGUAACACGUGGAUAACCUACCUAUAAGACUGGGAUAACUUCGGGAAACCGGAGCUAAUACCGGAUAAUAUAUUGAACCGCAUGGUUCAAUAGUGAAAGACGGUUUUGCUGUCACUUAUAGAUGGAUCCGCGCCGCAUUAGCUAGUUGGUAAGGUAACGGCUUACCAAGGCAACGAUGCGUAGCCGACCUGAGAGGGUGGUCGGCCACACUGGAACUGAGACACGGUCCAGACUCCUACGGGAGGCAGCAGUAGGGAAUCUUCCGCAAUGGGCGAAAGCCUGACGGAGCAACGCCGCGUGAGUGAUGAAGGUCUUCGGAUCGUAGAACUCUGUUAUUAGGGAAGAACAAAUGUGUAAGUAACUAUGCACGUCUUGACGGUACCUAAACAGAAAGCCACGGCUAACUACGUG
Molecule: ribosomal RNA, 497 nt
Filed under: uncultured bacterium
Lineage: Bacteria
Description: partial 16S ribosomal RNA
Rfam family: Bacterial small subunit ribosomal RNA
Source: RNAcentral